This 1064-nucleotide long non-coding RNA is filed under the name Homo sapiens (human). The record is from RNAcentral. Lineage: Eukaryota; Metazoa; Chordata; Mammalia; Primates; Hominidae.
ACACAAGCACACACAUACACAAGCGCAAAUCCUCUCUUUCUCUUUCUCUCAUUUCCCGUCAUAGGUUCUAUGCAGGCAGAUGAGUGUCACAGCUGUAACUGAGGCACAGAGCAGUACACACAGUGGAGCCGAUUUCCGCGAUGGCGAGAGGGGGCACCGGAGGUGACAACAAUAACAAGACUGUCCUUCGGACAAGUUUUAGCGCUGAAUAUCUUCAGGAAAAUGGGUUCCAUGAGAAGUGACAUCCUCCUCGAAUCAAAAGAUUCUCAGGAUGAUGGAGUGAGUGAUGGAAUAGGUUGCCAACUGUAGUUACUCCACUCAGCACAGAAUGGCUGCGGGGAAAUAUAAUCAGACAUGCCCAAAGAAGUCUGCUUAGGGUGAAACAAAUACCUUUGAGGUUUAAAUCAGAAAGGAAGGAGAGACUGUUUCUACAGGUGUCAUACAAAAAUCAAUACUGAGCCAAGGAUUAUUGGAUCCCAUAGAACCACGGAGACUUGGUAGUGAAAUUCUUCCAAAGGCAGAUGGUGUUCCUAGGUUUGGAAAUAUAAAUCCCAUGGGAAGUCAGCUGAAGACCAUUUUAUGCAUCACUCAUCCUGUUAGAGCCCUGUGCUGUUCUGUCUCUCUAUAAGACUGGCUGAAACCACCACGGUUGUUUACAAUUUAUGCUCUAACUUUGGAUCACCUAGUUAAUACUCUAACUCCGAUUAUUACCAAAGACAAUGUUCUAUAAAAGAUAUUGUCUAUUAGAAGGAUGCUUCUGCAUUAUUAAUAAAAUCACAGGGAAAAUGCAACAUUUUGGAUGUCACAUCUGAUAAGUUGGCAGUUAAAGAACAGAAACAGCAAUAAGACUGCGUGGCUACAUUUUCCCAGUGCCACCAACUGGGAUUUAAGCUGACUAACAUUUUGAAAGCCCAGCCCAUUUCAUUCACAGCAGGAUGGCAGAACAAGAAAUUGAGAAUGGGUUUCACAGUGUUCUGUUAAUUUGAUUACUGUGUCCUAAGUGGUAAGUAUAAACCUCCUUAUGUAUUUUGUGAAGCUCACUUAAUCAAGCAAAUAUUAUAAAA